Molecule: RNA transcript, 2468 nt
Organism: Capsicum annuum
Lineage: Eukaryota; Viridiplantae; Streptophyta; Magnoliopsida; Solanales; Solanaceae
Gene name: myosin IB heavy chain
Exons: 6
Source: RefSeq, a predicted model, not a curated record
GUUCAACACGUUGGACACAUUUGUUUUGUUGAAAAUUGAAAUGACGAGGAAUAUUGAAGCGGGGAAAUUGGGAAUCCUGGUGAUGUAACCGUUAGAGACGACCCGAUACGUUGGCUUCCACCAAACCAACAUCGCGACUUUUCGCCACCCUCUUCCGAUGGUAUUGUCAGAAUCAAAUGGGAGAGUCCAAUUACCGGCCAAAGCCCAAACCAGACCGGUCGUUGACGACGGCAAAGAUGCUGAAAGUUUGAAGGUGGCGGAAGAUCAGAAUGGACAUCCUUCCAUGGGAGUUGAAGUCCGGAGAAAUUACAUGGGCGAUUACCUUGAUGUCCCUUUUCGACCUUAUCUCAUGAAGAUUCUACAAAAACAAGCGAUUUAUGCCAAUUCAAAACUAUUAGUUGGACGCCUUGUUCACUGCUCGUUGGAAGGUGACAAGAAAGUUCUCUUUGCAGACAGAGUUUUGAAGUUCACAAGUACAGGGAAGAUGAAGCGGCACAUUCUUCUUAUAACUGAUUUUGCCCUUUACAUUGUGGACCCAGACAUUGAUGCACUUAAAAGACGGAUUUCCCUGGCAGCUGUUGAAAAGCUCUGUUUGAGUGAACGAAGUGAUAAUUUCUUAGCAAUUAUUGCCCCUACUGAAUAUGAUCUACUGAUAGCCAGCACUCGGAAGACGGAAAUUGUAUCUAUCUUUGUAGACACUACCAGGAGUCAAUCCGACUACGAACUUGAGGUACUAUCCUCUAAUAGAUUUGAGUACAAUGCAACUUCCGAACUAGUAAAAGAAAUUUACUUUGACGAAACUGAAGAUGGUACGAGAACAACAAUAGUGAGAAAAUGAAUUGCACCCUUAAUGUAGCAGUCUGACAACAUGAACUGCUAGUGUGCCUGCAACACCCCCCUUGCCUUUCCCACGGAGGAAUCAGCUUAUAUCAUUUCAUGUAUAAAGAAUUCAAGCUGCUGAGGUCAUGGACACCUAUAGUAAUGUCGCUACUAUCUCUUUCUAUAUGCAAGGAAACCUCAAAAGUUUCACAUUGGAAACUUCCUAAGUCCACUCCUCAAGAACUACAGGACACGCCCACUUCGCAACCUGUCAGUACCUUUAUAGCUGUAUAGGUGAGUUUCCCGUGAGAAGUUUAAGCAAAAGCAGUGGAUAUCAUAUGCUUGGGACACUUCUGUUGUUUCCCUGCAACUUUUGGGGCUCAAUAUCCUGUCGCCCGCUUAACUGGUGAAACUAUAGGACUCAUCAGUGUCAAGUUCAGUGGGACAACCAAUCCCUUGUAGAUAAAAAUGUUUUGAGGAAAUUGUCUUUUCAUGGGCAAGUUUCCUCAGACCGUCCACGGACGUGGAGAAUGUCUCGACCUAUGGCAGCAGCAACUCUAAUUGGUUUCCCAGUUCCCUGUCUAUUAGAAUCCUGCCUCAACUCUUCUUGCCUGAAAUUCAUUAGUUCAGCACAGACAUGAUAACAUCAAAAUACUGGAACACUUAAGGGAACACUGAAAGAUGUAUCUCAAGGUUCUAUCCUCCAAACCAACAGACGUCAAAAGACAAUUUACUGUAACUGGCCUAAAAAAAGUCAAAGCCGAGCUUUCCCUUGGGGAAUUUUUCCAACAUCUUCUAACCAUAGAAACCAAUUGCAAUUGGAACAUCAUCUUUAUUUUAGUACAGUUAAAACCAGUGUCUUACUUGAAUCGACAUGUUGUAGAAGUGGAAAGUUAAAAUGGUAACUUUAACACCCCCAGCUGUUCCUCAAGGCAGUGACGGAAGAAAAUGUGAAUGAUAAAUCAGGGAGUAUUUCUUUUGAUGCUAUUCUCCCUCUUAAUAAUGCAAUCACAAGUUAAAUUGUUGCUAAAAUCAGCAGCACUCAUAUGGAAAUACUAAAAAUUAAGAAUUUAUCUGGCACUAAAUCUUGAUAUGAACUUGAUCUUAGUAGAGAUAAACAAUAUAACAUUAACGACGAGCCUCUUUUUCACCUUCUUUGAAUAGCAAAAAAGGAUCAGCAGUGUGAUCGAUUGCACCAAAUGCUAGAACACAUCAUCCAAAGUUCUGCAUUAAUAACGGGAACUAAUUUUGUUAGGCAUUGCAAACUUUUACCUAUUAAAUAGGGCCAAUACCCACUUAAUUUCUGAUAAUAUAAAAUCCCUAUUACCAAAAAAAAAAUUAAAAAUUCCCUGGUCUUGCCUCUAUUUAUUCUAUGACCAUAGUUUCAAGGUUCCUAGCUAGUUACGUUCCAGCAUUUAUAUUUAUACGGCAGAAGUUUUUUGAGUUAAAAAAUUGAACCUGUAAAUUGAAAUUGUGAACAAUAAUCGUGGUGGAAAUGAUCUCUUUUUCUUGAAAAAGAGAGAGGAUAUCAUAAAGGGACGAUUAGUUUUUUCUUUUUCAACCAUAAAGGGACGAUUAGUUAGAUGACAAAUUUUUAUACUACUACUAGCAAUACAUAGGUCAAAAUAACUAUUACAAAAAAAAAAAAA